AUGCAUGCCCUCCUACCCCAGCCUCAUGUGGAGCAUGCCCUCUACAACACCAUAAUUGGUUUCUACCAGCACCUUCCAACUCAAGAAUACAGGGUGCUCUGGGUCUCGGAACCAUGGCACCCGUAUAAAUCCAGCUUGCACGUUCUCACAGUGGGAUCCAAUGUGAUGAGGCAUAUCAGUGUCAGAAUGCAAACACUCUCACCACCAUCCAUGGAACAAGAACAUCAGUUACUGAAGGGAUUGCGCUCUAAGUCGUGUUGUCCACCAUCAGUGCUUCACCGUGGCAGCUUGCACUGGUGUCCUUAUGAUGCCAAUGAAAUUGGGGGACACAGCACAUAUAUUAUUGUGUUCGACACAGAAGCCGAGUCAUUCCGGUGGGUUAGCAGUCCCACCAAGCUGUGCCAUCAUAGAAAGUUGUUCGACAUGAACGGGACACUUGCUUUAUGGGGCAGCUUGACUCCCAGCUUGACCGCUAUGGAUGUCUGGGCGAUGCAGGAUUACGUCUGGAGUUUCAAGUACCGGAUCGACGUGUCAACGCUGGAGGUAUCACGACAACUUUAUUCAACCUCUUGUAAAAAGAAAAAGAGAACACCACUUGAUUCAACAGUGCAAUGGCUCAAUGAUAUGGUUGUGUUGAACGACCGUGAGUUGCUGAUCAUGUUUAACAGUAAACAUGUAAUGCGUUGUGACAUUGAUGGCAACUUCUUAGGAAUGGUGAACAUCGGAAAGCGUCAAUAUUGUAUGAUGCUUAAUCAUUGCUGCCUCAAAGAGAGCAUUAUUCCAAUUCCAUCCAACUAG
This 798-nucleotide ribosomal RNA is filed under the name Triticum aestivum (bread wheat). RNAcentral describes it as "partial small subunit ribosomal RNA". The record is from RNAcentral. Lineage: Eukaryota; Viridiplantae; Streptophyta; Magnoliopsida; Poales; Poaceae.